GUCCCUGUAGCACAAUGGAUAGCGCGUUGGACUUCUAAUCUAGAGGUCGUGGGUUCUAUUCCCACCGGGGAUG
This is a non-coding RNA of Trichonephila clavipes, 73 nucleotides long. NCBI's taxonomy places the organism in Eukaryota, Metazoa, Arthropoda, Arachnida, Araneae, Nephilidae. The record is from the annotation of a GenBank genome assembly.